Molecule: ribosomal RNA, 877 nt
Filed under: Rhodofomes cajanderi
Lineage: Eukaryota; Fungi; Basidiomycota; Agaricomycetes; Polyporales; Fomitopsidaceae
Description: partial 28S ribosomal RNA
Rfam family: Eukaryotic large subunit ribosomal RNA
Source: RNAcentral
UGACUUUGACCUCAAAUCAGGUAGGGUUACCCGCUGAACUUAAGCAUAUCAAUAAGCGGAGGAAAAGAAACUAACAAGGAUUCCCCUAGUAACUGCGAGUGAAGCGGGAAAAGCUCAAAUUUAAAAUCUGGCGGUCUUUGGCCGUCCGAGUUGUAGUCUGGAGAAGUGCUUUCCGCGCUGGACCGUGUACAAGUCUCUUGGAACAGAGCGUCAUAGAGGGUGAGAAUCCCGUCUUUGACACGGACUACCAGUGCUUUGUGAUGCGCUCUCAAAGAGUCGAGUUGUUUGGGAAUGCAGCUCAAAAUGGGUGGUAAAUUCCAUCUAAAGCUAAAUAUUGGCGAGAGACCGAUAGCGAACAAGUACCGUGAGGGAAAGAUGAAAAGCACUUUGGAAAGAGAGUUAAACAGUACGUGAAAUUGCUGAAAGGGAAACGCUUGAAGUCAGUCGCGUUGAUCAGGACUCAGCCUUGCUUUUGCUUGGUGCAUUUUCUGGUUGACGGGCCAGCAUCGAUUUUGAUUGCCGGANAAAGGCUGGAGGAAUGUGGCACCUUCGGGUGUGUUAUAGCCUUCAGUCACAUACGGCGGUUGGGAUCGAGGACCGCAGCACGCCUUUAUGGCCGGGGUUUGCCCACGUUCGUGCUUAGGAUGCUGGUGUAAUGGCUUUAAACGACCCGUCUUGAAACACGGACCAAGGAGUCUAACAUGCCUGCGAGUGUUUGGGUGGUAAACCCGAGCGCGUAAUGAAAGUGAAAGUUGAGAUCCUUGUCAUGGGGAGCAUCGACGCCCGGACCUGAACUUCGGUGAUGGCUCUGCGGUAGAGCAUGUAUGUUGGGACCCGAAAGAUGGUGAACUAUGCCUGAAUAGGGUGAAGCCAGAGG